UAACCAAUUAAAUAACAUGACUUUAAACUUUAAACUUUAAACCAACUAAUAAAUUUAAAGAUAGCCACAAAAAAAAAAAUAAUAAUAAUAAUAACCCAUAAUGUGCAUUUUGUUUUUCUCUUUCUUCUAUCCACUUGGCAACCCAUAUCACCGUCCUGUCACAGAUCCAAUCGACCCAUACUAACCUGUAAGAUUAUUGUAAAAGUGCAUAUUUAAAAAUAAUCAAUAGGAUACUUGUAGUUUAUAUAAACAAUUAUAUAACAAUAAAUAAACACUUCAUACCACUCUUCUCUUAUGAAAUAUAUCGAUAACCAAACGACACACCCAUCUUAGAUCCUAUUAAAUUUUCAAAAGAUUUCAUGACUCAAAGGUCCACUAACGAUUCAUGUAUAUUUAAUUGAAUACAUAAAAGUAUAAAGAAACAAACCACUUUUACAAAAGUAUCAUACCUCGUUUAAUGAAAGAUUGUAACUAAUGCACAUAAAAACCCUUUUCCUACAUUUAUUUUCCCUCUGUCUUGACUCUCUCUGACAGUAUCUAUGAAUAAAU
Molecule: long non-coding RNA, 549 nt
Filed under: Olea europaea (common olive)
Lineage: Eukaryota; Viridiplantae; Streptophyta; Magnoliopsida; Lamiales; Oleaceae
Description: long non-coding RNA (OEUR_LNC005512)
Source: RNAcentral